This 336-nucleotide unclassified non-coding RNA is filed under the name Hevea brasiliensis (rubber tree). Lineage: Eukaryota; Viridiplantae; Streptophyta; Magnoliopsida; Malpighiales; Euphorbiaceae. The record is from RNAcentral.
UUCAGCGCCCAGGAACCUCUCUCCUUUUUCUUCUGCUCAUCGCCGACGCUGAUCAACGCCAGCAAUAGAACCAGAUGACGCCGGUGAGCUCCAACAACGACGAGGUUGAGUGAAAAAACGACGAUAAAAUCAUGGAGGAGAACCGCGAAUUCAAAGUGUCAUCUUCAACUAUUUUCUACUGUCUCUGACACUGGAUAGGUGAUGUUUGAUCGGCGCUCAACUCUCCACAUGGCCAGACGUUCCAUUCUCGACCAACUCCACCACCUUUGGUUGCCAGCAUCCAUCCCAAUAGAGAGAAAGAGAAGACAAAACGCAAAUCAUCAUCAUCGACGAUGG